This 620-nucleotide ribosomal RNA is filed under the name Vibrio alginolyticus. Its description in RNAcentral is "bacterial SSU rRNA". It matches the Rfam family "Bacterial small subunit ribosomal RNA", at positions 79 to 692 of the family's 1533-position model. Lineage: Bacteria; Pseudomonadati; Pseudomonadota; Gammaproteobacteria; Vibrionales; Vibrionaceae. The record is from RNAcentral.
ACGAUAACGGCGUCGAGCGGCGGACGGGUGAGUAAUGCCUAGGAAAUUGCCCUGAUGUGGGGGAUAACCAUUGGAAACGAUGGCUAAUACCGCAUGAUGCCUACGGGCCAAAGAGGGGGACCUUCGGGCCUCUCGCGUCAGGAUAUGCCUAGGUGGGAUUAGCUAGUUGGUGAGGUAAGGGCUCACCAAGGCGACGAUCCCUAGCUGGUCUGAGAGGAUGAUCAGCCACACUGGAACUGAGACACGGUCCAGACUCCUACGGGAGGCAGCAGUGGGGAAUAUUGCACAAUGGGCGCAAGCCUGAUGCAGCCAUGCCGCGUGUGUGAAGAAGGCCUUCGGGUUGUAAAGCACUUUCAGUCGUGAGGAAGGUGGUGUUGUUAAUAGCUGUAUCAUUUGACGUUAGCGACAGAAGAAGCACCGGCUAACUCCGUGCCAGCAGCCGCGGUAAUACGGAGGGUGCGAGCGUUAAUCGGAAUUACUGGGCGUAAAGCGCAUGCAGGUGGUUUGUUAAGUCAGAUGUGAAAGCCCGGGGCUCAACCUCGGAAUAGCAUUUGAAACUGGCAGACUAGAGUACUGUAGAGGGGGGGUAGAAAUUUCAGGUGUAGCGGGUGAAAUGCGUA